GCCUAACACAUGCAAGUCGAACGGAGUAGCAAUACUCAGUGGCAGACGGGUGAGUAACAUGUAGGUAUCUGCCCUUUGGCCUGGAAUAACACGAGGAAACUUGUGCUAAUACCGGAUAAGUCUUUACAGAGAAAGCUUUAUGCACCAUUGGAUGAGCCUGCACUUGAUUAGUUUGUUGGUGGGGUAAUGGCCUACCAAGACUUUGAUCAAUAGCUGAUUUGAGAGGAUGAUCAGCCACAUUGGGACUGAGACACGGCCCAAACUCCUACGGGAGGCAGCAGUGGGGAAUCUUGCACAAUGGAGGAAACUCUGAUGCAGCGAUGCCGCGUGAGUGAAGAAGGCCCUUGGGUUGUAAAGCUCUUUCGUCGGGGAAGAAAAUGACUGUACCCGAAUAAGAAGGUCCGGCUAACUUCGUGCCAGCAGCCGCGGUAAUACGAAGGGACCUAGCGUAGUUCGGAAUUACUGGGCUUAAAGAGUUCGUAGGUGGUUGAAAAAGUUGGUGGUGAAAUCCCAGAGCUUAACUCUGGAACUGCCAUCAAAACUUUUCAGCUAGAGUUUGAUAGAGGAAAGCAGAAUUUCUAGUGUAGAGGUGAAAUUCGUAGAUAUUAGAAAGAAUACCAAUUGCGAAGGCAGCUUUCUGGAUCAUUACUGACACUGAGGAACGAAAGCAUGGGUAGCGAAGAGGAUUAGAUACCCUCGUAGUCCAUGCCGUAAACGAUGUGUGUUAGACGUUGGAAAUUUAUUUUCAGUGUCGCAGCGAAAGCAAUAAACACACCGCCUGGGGAGUACGACCG
Molecule: ribosomal RNA, 794 nt
Filed under: uncultured Pelagibacteraceae bacterium
Lineage: Bacteria; Pseudomonadati; Pseudomonadota; Alphaproteobacteria; Candidatus Pelagibacterales; Candidatus Pelagibacteraceae
Description: bacterial SSU rRNA
Rfam family: Bacterial small subunit ribosomal RNA
Source: RNAcentral